Long non-coding RNA from Drosophila erecta, 712 nucleotides. RefSeq lists it as uncharacterized. The record is from RefSeq and is a predicted model, not a curated record. Lineage: Eukaryota; Metazoa; Arthropoda; Insecta; Diptera; Drosophilidae. The transcript has 5 exons.
CAGUUAGAUUCAAACACCCGAAUUGAACUCAUUAAGUGUACGCAUUAGUUUAUAGUGUGAACAGUCAGUUUUCUACCCAUAUCGCUGUCAUCAAUUCUGUUCACAGCUACCGACGUAGACUCUUCUGCCCAGCUCUCUUGGAAAAUAUUUAUUUCCUGAGAUCCUGAGACGGAAAAACGGGCAGGCGGACGGACAGACGGUUGUGGCCAGAUCGAUUGUGCAAUUGAUCCUGAUCAAGAAUAUAUAUACAUAUGUACGUAUAUAGUCGGAAACGGUUCAUUUUACCUAUUACACACUUUUCAAGGAAUCUAGUAUACCCUACUCCAAGAGUAACGGGUGUAAUCAGCGGCUACGCCAGCCGAGCCCACUAAUUACUGCUACUCACCUUCUCUAUCGCGUACGAUCUCUCUCCUAAAAAUCGAGCGCAAAGUCAACGAAAGAAAGUUAAAAUUAGUGGUGCGCAACGGAACAAAACAAACGGAACGGAACAAAUUAGGCAAAAGGGACAGGGACAGGGACGAGAGAAAGGGAACUAACAAUAAGAAAUUUAAAUGGAUUAACGGAUUUAUUUUCUAAAGGUUUUGUGAGAACCAGCGGCUUAUUUUAUGUAGUGUAAUUGAUUCAUUGUAUAAACAACAACAAAUACUGCUCACAUAAGUAAUCCUUUUAGGUAAUUGAAAAGGUCCCAUACUCAACUGAGAAUAAGCUGGCC